CCUACGGGUGGCAGCAGUAGGGAAUAUUGGACAAUGGGUGCAAGCCUGAUCCAGCCAUGCCGCGUGCAGGAAGAAGGCCUUCUGGGUUGUAAACUGCUUUUAACUGGGGAUAAAAGACUCUUGCGAGAGGCAUUGAAAGUACCAGUUGAAUAAGCCACGGCUAACUACGUGCCAGCAGCCGCGGUAAUACGUAGGUGGCAAGCGUUGUCCGGAUUUAUUGGGUUUAAAGGGUGCGUAGGCGGUCCAUUAAGUCAGCAGUGAAAUACGGCAGCUUAACUGUCGAGGUGCUGUUGAUACUGGUGGACUUGAGUACUGAUGAGGUAGGCGGAAUGGACGGUGUAGCGGUGAAAUGCUUAGAGAUCGUCCAGAACACCGAUAGCGAAGGCAGCUUACUAAGGAGUAACUGACGCUGAGGCACGAAAGUGUGGGGAUCAAACAGGAUUAGAUACCCUUGUAGUC
This 459-nucleotide ribosomal RNA is filed under the name uncultured bacterium. RNAcentral's name for it is "bacterial SSU rRNA". It matches the Rfam family "Bacterial small subunit ribosomal RNA", at positions 338 to 795 of the family's 1533-position model. The record is from RNAcentral.